UAUGGCCACAUCACUUUGAAACAACGGUUCUCGUACGAUCACCGAAGUUAAACAAUAUCGAUCUGGUCAAUACCUAGAUGGUUGACCACUUGGGAAUGUCAGGAGUUGUAA
Acanthosepion pharaonis is the source of this 111-nucleotide non-coding RNA. Lineage: Eukaryota; Metazoa; Mollusca; Cephalopoda; Sepiida; Sepiidae. The record is from the annotation of a GenBank genome assembly.